RNAcentral lists this ribosomal RNA (502 nucleotides) under uncultured bacterium. RNAcentral's name for it is "partial 16S ribosomal RNA". It matches the Rfam family "Bacterial small subunit ribosomal RNA", at positions 30 to 523 of the family's 1533-position model. The record is from RNAcentral.
AUUGAACGCUGGCGGUAUGCUUAACACAUGCAAGUCGAACGGCAGCACAGUAUGUAGCAAUACAUAUGGGUGGCGAGUGGCGGACGGGUGAGUAACGCGUAGGAAUCUACCCUAAAGCGGGGGACAACCCGAGGAAACUCGGGCUAAUACCGCAUAAUCUCGAAAGAGUAAAGCUGGGGCAACCUGGCCAUUGCGGAGGAGCCUGCGUCCGAUUAGCUAGUUGGUGAGGUAAAGGCUCACCAAGGCGAUGAUCGGUAGCUGGUCUGAGAGGAUGAUCAGCCACACUGGGACUGAGACACGGCCCAGACUCCUACGGGAGGCAGCAGUGGGGAAUAUUGGACAAUGGGGGCAACCCUGAUCCAGCAAUACCGCGUGUGUGAAGAAGGCCUUAGGGUUGUAAAGCACUUUAGUUGGGGAAGAAGGAUAGUUGUUUAAGAGAUGAUUAUUUUGACGGUACCCAAAGAAUAAGCACCGGCUAACUCUGUGCCAGCAGCCGCCGUAA